Molecule: long non-coding RNA, 1383 nt
Filed under: Homo sapiens (human)
Lineage: Eukaryota; Metazoa; Chordata; Mammalia; Primates; Hominidae
Description: HSALNT0343581
Source: RNAcentral
GUGGUCUUGUCUUAGAGCUAUUCCUACCUUGGAUUUUGGGGGGUUUUCUUUUUUAAGAUGGCCUUAUUCUCUUCUCCUCUUCAUAUGCCUGGUGCCAUAAGAUCUGGAGCUACCCCUCCUAGAAGGACCCUGCCUUUGGGAGCAUUCAAGGACCAGGCCAGUGCCCUGUGUAGGAGAUGCAUCAAGUGUGUAGCUGGGACCAGAUCUGCUUCAGUCCCUCAGAAGAAAGGUUCUGAGUGCUACUACUCAGAUGGCCAAGACCAUGGUGUGUGCCUUAGGGAAAGGGGACAGUGACACCCUUCCCCUGGCUCCAAACAAGGCCUACAGCUUGUGAAAGGGCUCUGCUCAAGUCCCUGCACCAAUGCAACCUGCCAAGGGAAAGCGCUCACCAUGGUUCUGUCUUGACCUGCCAGUUUGUUUCCUCUGGCCCCAUACUGGGAUCCAUUCCUGGGACAACUAGAAGUGCCAGGGAGUUAAAGCCCCAAGAGCGACCUUCAAGCCAAUAAGAGAUGGAGUUGGAAUGAAAACCUCAGCUUCCUCAUACCUCAGUGGGACAAUCCUGAGAUGUGUUCCUCAAGUCUCUCCAAGGACCUGAUGGGACUGAGUCCUGGUUGCUCAUGAGAGAAACCAGCAGGACUGGAUGUCAGUGAUUGCACCAUGCAGGAUUACAGAUUGUGCUGAGUUUAGAUUUUCUGCCUUCCUCCUCAGUUGUCAGGCUGCUAGCCAGCUCUUCUGCUCCCAUGACACCUGCAUCGAAUGCCUGCCCUUUCCUUACUACAAGACCCUUUCCAGUUCCCAGAUUAGAAUCUGCCACAGGCUAGGAAUCCCACAUCCCAGUAGUGAUUUGGCUCCAAGUGCAAAGGCACCUAGUGUCUGCCUUUUGUUCAGCAGCUUGGUGAUGGACAUAUCCAGGACUCAGAGACCCCUUUCCCUCAGCUCUCUGAGUUGGAAGCUGUCAGGUGCAGAAGGGCAACAUCUUACAUACACAGGGUUUGGGCAGGUCUGGGCAGUGCCUGGUUAAUGUUAAAUAAUGCAGAUAAAGGAAUUGUUGACAUCUGAAAGUCAAUAUGAAAAUUGUAUGCACUGCUGUGACUCAUGCAACUUCACUCCCAGCCCUGGUUCUCAUGAUUCCAGAAGUGGAAAAAAUAAGGCAACUCUUUUCCUCACAAUUCAAAAAAAUACCUAUUGAGCAACAUCAGCUUGGCCCACACAAGACAAUUUUUAUCCCUUCCGUUAGUUAACUUUGCUUUGGCCAAAGGCCAGAAAAACCUCAUUCUUUACAGGCAACCUCAGACCACCAUCCUGGAUCCACUUCAAAAACUAACUGCAGACCUGUGUCUUACUAGAGGUGAUUUGGUAGCAUUGAAGAUCAAAUCCCGAUUU